This 378-nucleotide ribosomal RNA is filed under the name Triticum aestivum (bread wheat). RNAcentral's name for it is "partial small subunit ribosomal RNA". The record is from RNAcentral. Lineage: Eukaryota; Viridiplantae; Streptophyta; Magnoliopsida; Poales; Poaceae.
GACGCAUUCCAUUGUAAGUUGACACUUUCUGGGGUUUUCUGUGUGAAAUCUAUGUAUAUGGAUUUAGUUCACUUUUGUUCGAUCUUCCAUUCAAAGCAUAUUUGGAAAACAGAAUUACCAUUAAAAAUUAAUAUUUACAUGUGGUUUGUUCAUAGUGGAGUGAUUCUUACUAAACAUAUUCUUGCAAAAUGGAGAUGGUAACAUAGUAAACAAUGUUGUUUUUGUGAUCAGGAGGAAGCAAUGCAUCAUUUGCUUAUUGUUUGCGUUUGCUACACUCUUAUGGCGUACGAUUCAUGUGGCAUUCAGCUUACUCUGCCCAUCAAUAUAGAUAAUAUGUUUGUAACUGCUUUGUGGGGGAGGGGGAUGGACUUGAGUUAA